This 152-nucleotide small nuclear RNA is filed under the name Tupaia belangeri chinensis (Chinese tree shrew). RNAcentral describes it as "Tupaia chinensis (Chinese tree shrew) U2 spliceosomal RNA". It matches the Rfam family "U2 spliceosomal RNA". Rfam says of the family: U2 is a small nuclear RNA (snRNA) component of the spliceosome (involved in pre-mRNA splicing). Lineage: Eukaryota; Metazoa; Chordata; Mammalia; Scandentia; Tupaiidae. The record is from Rfam by way of RNAcentral.
AUCAGCCAUGUGGAAGUCCAGUGUAGUAUCUGUUCUCGUGAGGACAAUAGAAGAAGUAAAUUUUAGGAGCAAGGAGGUUGAAGGGAAGCUUGCUUCAUCCAAUUCAUGCAUUGACUUGGUAUUGCAGUACCUCUAGGAAUGGUGCACAUCCU